This 1030-nucleotide long non-coding RNA is filed under the name Cricetulus griseus (Chinese hamster). RNAcentral describes it as "lncRNA (ENSCGRG00015033500.1)". The record is from RNAcentral. Lineage: Eukaryota; Metazoa; Chordata; Mammalia; Rodentia; Cricetidae.
ACUUCAGUGGUAGGCAGCAGGCAUGAAUUCAAAGCUUGCAGAAGCACUAUCAUGGCUGGUUUUCCAUUUGGGGAAUUCAUUAAAUGCAACUCUGUGUGUAUCUGUUACUGGCUUCCUUUAUUCAGACAAGUGGGACUCCAGAGGAAGGAAGCUGAGUUUGGAAACCCCAGAACCCUCUCCAUGGUCUUUUCCCACCAUGCCCUAAAAGUCUCUAAAGCAGCUUUUCCCUUUUGUUCUGACUGUACCCAGUGAUCUCCUAGGACUGCUGGAAGCCAGCUGUGUGGCAGGUGCAGCUGUAUUACUGGUGGCUUUGUUGUUGAGGAGAGAUGUGGGCUUUGAGCAUCUUCAUCCCAUUAUGACUGUUUAAAUACUAACUAUAAAUUGAUUUGUAGAUGUCGGGAGAGAGUAAAGGACAGAAAUCAUAUCAUCAUAUUUUCUUACUCUAGAACGUUGAGUGUAAGUACCAUGGCAAGAUUUAUUUUUUAGUGUACUUUACAUAAAACCAACAUUAUUCUUACUAACCCACAGUUAAAAACCCUCCCCCCAUCAAGAAAAAUAACCUCUGACAUCAUUGUUCCGUGUCUUCUAAACUAUCUGCAUCUUAGUGUUUUAUUGUUUUGUCUGUGCUUAAACCAAACCAGGCAGGGUACACACAUUGAACCAGAGAAGCCUGCAGCUGUUUCAGAGGAGAUCCCUGGAAAACAUGUUUGUGUUCCUUAAAAAUGACCACAUCCAGAAUCAUCUCAGAUGAAGCUGUUGGUCAUCAUUGCUUGUAAUUAUGACUCAGCUCACCAGGAGAGGAGGGAACAGGAUAUGGUGCUUGUGAUCUCCAAGGAUACUGUGCAGCCUGGCCAUUAGACUUCCACAGAAGUCCCAGUGCUGCUGUCACAGGAAUUCUGCCUCCUCCAAGUCUGGCUCGUGGGGCAGAGCUCUCCUAGGGAAUCGAAGCCUGGACCUGUGCACCUGCUCCUCCUAGAUUUGGACUAUCAGCCUGAACAGGAAACAGAGUUACCUACAUUUGGAGAUGGAC